GCUGUAACUCCGCGGUAAGAGAAUCUGCUUUGCAUGCAGAAGGUCCUGGGUUCAAUGUCCAGCAUCUCCA
Molecule: non-coding RNA, 70 nt
Organism: Podarcis lilfordi (Lilford's wall lizard)
Lineage: Eukaryota; Metazoa; Chordata; Lepidosauria; Squamata; Lacertidae
Source: the annotation of a GenBank genome assembly